RNAcentral lists this long non-coding RNA (226 nucleotides) under Phoenix dactylifera (date palm). Its description in RNAcentral is "long non-coding RNA (PDAC_LNC001613)". Lineage: Eukaryota; Viridiplantae; Streptophyta; Magnoliopsida; Arecales; Arecaceae. The record is from RNAcentral.
AAUCAGAUUCCUAGGAAGAGGAUACCUAGGAAAGUACUUUUGGCAUGUUUGGUUAACCAUGGGAAAGUGACAAAUUUUCAAAGUGCUUUUGUUUGGUUGACCAUCCACUUUCCUAGGAAAGUUAUGUAUAAUUCCUAUUAUGCCCUUAAUAAAAAUUAGGUCUUUAAUGUCUCUUUAAUGCUUCUUUAAUGCUGAAGGGUUUUUUUGGGAAAAAAUAAAAAAGGAG